This 253-nucleotide ribosomal RNA is filed under the name uncultured bacterium. RNAcentral's name for it is "partial 16S ribosomal RNA". It matches the Rfam family "Bacterial small subunit ribosomal RNA", at positions 524 to 776 of the family's 1533-position model. The record is from RNAcentral.
UACGUAGGGUGCAAGCGUUGUCCGGAAUUAUUGGGCGUAAAGAGCUCGUAGGCGGCCUGUCACGUCGGCUGUGAAAACCCGGGGCUCAACCCCGGGCCUGCAGUCGAUACGGGCAGGCUAGAGUUCGGCAGGGGAGACUGGAAUUCCUGGUGUAGCGGUGAAAUGCGCAGAUAUCAGGAAGAACACCAAUGGCGAAAGCAGCUCUCUGGGACGGUACUGACGCUGAGACGCGAAAGCGUGGGGAGCGAACAGG